UUUCAUGUUAACGAGGUUGUUAGAUGUGUCAGGAGGUGGUUCUCCUAUAAAUAGAGCCUCCUAUUGCUUGUAAUCGAAACCAUUUGACUUUAUUUUCGAGAUGUCGUCUUUUCGAUUGUCGGAGUACCAUCAUUGUUUGUUCAUGCUAAGUGUAGCCCCCUUGAGUCCCUGCAUUUAUCCAGAAGUUCGCCUCAAGGUAGCACACUAGAGGCGAGCGCAUCGAGCGGUGCCUUACAUUGGCUUGGGAGAUACUGAAAAUUUCUGC
RNAcentral lists this long non-coding RNA (265 nucleotides) under Elaeis guineensis (African oil palm). Its description in RNAcentral is "long non-coding RNA (EGUI_LNC024357)". The record is from RNAcentral. Lineage: Eukaryota; Viridiplantae; Streptophyta; Magnoliopsida; Arecales; Arecaceae.